CGGACGGGUGAGUAACGCGUGGAAAACCUGCCGUAUACUGGGGGAUAACACUUAGAAAUAGGCGCUAAUACCGCAUAAGCGCACAGCUUCGCAUGAAGCGGUGUGAAAAACUCUGGUGGUAUACGAUGGUUCCGCGUCUGAUUAGCUAGUUGGUGGGGUAAUGGCCCACCAAGGCAACGAUCAGUAGCCGGCCUGAGAGGGUGAACGGCCACAUUGGGACUGAGACACGGCCCAAACUCCUACGGGAGGCAGCAG
Molecule: ribosomal RNA, 255 nt
Filed under: uncultured bacterium
Lineage: Bacteria
Description: partial 16S ribosomal RNA
Rfam family: Bacterial small subunit ribosomal RNA
Source: RNAcentral